This 467-nucleotide ribosomal RNA is filed under the name uncultured bacterium. RNAcentral's name for it is "partial 16S ribosomal RNA". It matches the Rfam family "Bacterial small subunit ribosomal RNA", at positions 28 to 507 of the family's 1533-position model. The record is from RNAcentral.
GACGAACGCUGGCGGCGUGCUUAACACAUGCAAGUCGAACGGAAAGGCUCCAGCUUGCUGGAGUGCUCGAGUGGCGAACGGGUGAGUAACACGUGGGCAAUCUGCCCUGCACUCUGGGAUAAGCCUGGGAAACUGGGUCUAAUACCGGAUAGGACCUUUCUCCUCAUGGGGUUUGGUGGAAAGUGUUUCGGUGCAGGAUGAGCCCGCGGCCUAUCAGCUUGUUGGUGGGGUAAUGGCCUACCAAGGCGACGACGGGUAGCCGGCCUGAGAGGGUGAUCGGCCACAAUGGGACUGAGAUACGGCCCAGACGCCUACGGGAGGCAGCAGUGGGGAAUAUUGCACAAUGGGCGAAAGCCUGAUGCAGCGACGCCGCGUGAGGGAUGACGGCCUUCGGGUUGUAAACCUCUUUCAGUAGGGACGAAGCGCAAGUGACGGUACCUGCAGAAGAAGCACCGGCUAACUACGUG